CGUCACCACCUCUUGCCGCCGCUCACUCGGCCGUCCGGGCGGCCGUUGCUCAACCGCCACUGCCUCCGCUAGAACCGAGCUCUUGUCCCCUUGGCCGUGGGUUGAGCUGCGACCGCCGCCAUCUUCGCCGUGCCAUCCGUGCCGCUGUUAGUGCCAUGAGACUCGUGUCUUUGUUGCCGUCGCACUACGAAAGCUUUCCUUAGGUUCUGCAACUUACUGAACUCUCAUUUGCUUUACUUUCAUUGUAGUUAUUUGCCUUGCGAGUAAUCCAAGAUAGAGUCCCUGGUAUGAGAUUUGUGGACAAGGCUACUGAUGCAAUUAUUCUGCAAAUGUAGUGGUUAAAAAUGGAUAAACUUCUCCCUUUUUUCUUUGUUUAUUUGUCUGUCUGAACAGUCCGCUUAAUUUUAGAGUCAAAAAUUGAUAUAUCUUAAGUUGGUUCUGAUAUGAAAAGUUGACGUCCAAUUGGGCAGCUGUUUGGCUCUUGAACUUAACAGAAGUAGUACCUUGCUUGUCUACAGGUAGAGAGAGAUUCAAAGUCAUUGGUUGAACUCUUAAGACACAUAGCCUUGGUACUGAAAAUUUUAAAAUUAGGAUCAGCUGAGGCACAAUCUAAUUAUGUUUCCACAUGGUCCGAAAUGAUCUCUGCUUGUGCUCAAGAGCUAAAGCAUGGAGCCUCAAUAUUGAAGCAAGCUCUAGAGAAGAAUGUUUCCAGUCAAAUAUUAUCUGAAAAAGAAGGCAAUCUGUAUGUACUUGCCCUGGGAAAAUUUUACAGAGCAGUUGGAGUUCUUAGGGCCUCAGCCAUGUUAUACAAACCAUGGAUUCUUCUUAAUUAUAGAGAUUUCUCUGCCGCAUCUGCUCUUUUAGAUGAAUGUACUACUCUAUAGUCUAGUUCAAGCCUUGAAGAAGCUCUUCAAAACAUAUCUGAUCCGCUAGAGUUCCAAUAUGAGGACAGCGUCAAGGCUUUAUUGGAGUCUAUCAAGCAUGUUUACACUCUCAAUGCAGGUGUACUCUAGAAGGCUAUUUUUUUCUUGUGAAGAACCUGUUUGCCAUUUGUCUCUAUUGAAUCCAGGAACUGUGCCAGGUAUGAAGAUGAUUUUUUGGGACGAGGAGUAGUAUUUUCUCAAACUUGCUAAUCUAUGGGCAAAUUUGAUCAGCCAUCAUCCUCCUGAAUUGCCAUCUAUCAAGAUUCAUGGAUCAUGAAAGGGCAGGACUAAAUCUCUCUGUUGUGAGGUCACUUGUGCUUCGUGAAAAGAACGAUAACAUAUCCGAGUUUCCAGAUGAAGUGAAGCUCUAUUCUUUGGUUAGUUUGCUGUUUGAUGCAGGUAAAUCAAUAAUCAAAUUAUCAAAUUUACUAGUCCAUGAAAUAAUACUCAUCCAUUAUAAAAACUUUAUCAGUUCUUUUUUAAAAUUAUCCUAUGAUGAUCUUUCACUUCUGUUGUAA
Molecule: long non-coding RNA, 1441 nt
Organism: Eucalyptus grandis
Lineage: Eukaryota; Viridiplantae; Streptophyta; Magnoliopsida; Myrtales; Myrtaceae
Exons: 3
Source: RefSeq, a predicted model, not a curated record